RNAcentral lists this unclassified non-coding RNA (1100 nucleotides) under Trichoderma harzianum. RNAcentral's name for it is "contains ITS1, 5.8S ribosomal RNA gene and ITS2, and 28S ribosomal RNA gene". The record is from RNAcentral. Lineage: Eukaryota; Fungi; Ascomycota; Sordariomycetes; Hypocreales; Hypocreaceae.
UAUGCAACGGGCUAUAACACUCCCGGAGGAGCCACGUUCCCGAAGCCUUUUUCCCCCGCGACGAACUGAUGCUGGCCUAGACGCGGCGAAGUGCACCGGAGAGAACCCCGGAUGAUCCGCCGCGCCCAAGUCUGGUCACAAGCGCUUCCCUUUCAACAAUUUCACGUACUAUUUAACCCUCUUUUCAAGGUGCUUUUCAUCUUUCGAUCACUCUACUUGUGCGCUAUCGGUCUCUGGCCAAUAUUUAGCUUUAGAAGACAUAUACCUCCCAUUUUGAGCAGCAUUCCCAAACUACUCGACUCGUCGAAGGAGCUUUACAGAGGCUCGGCGGCCAGCCAGACGGGGCUCUCACCCUCUGUGGCGUCCCGUUCCAGGGAACUCGGGCGGCACCUCACCAAAAGCAUCCUCUACAAAUUACAACUCGGGCCCUAGGGACCAGAUUUCAAAUUUGAGCUGUUGCCGCUUCACUCGCCGUUACUGGGGCAAUCCCUGUUGGUUUCUUUUCCUCCGCUUAUUGAUAUGCUUAAGUUCAGCGGGUAUUCCUACCUGAUCCGAGGUCAACAUUUCAGAAGUUGGGUGUUUAACGGCUGUGGACGCGCCGCGCUCCCGAUGCGAGUGUGCAAACUACUGCGCAGGAGAGGCUGCGGCGAGACCGCCACUGUAUUUCGGAGACGGCCACCCGCUAAGGGAGGGCCGAUCCCCAACGCCGACCCCCCGGAGGGGUUCGAGGGUUGAAAUGACGCUCGGACAGGCAUGCCCGCCAGAAUACUGGCGGGCGCAAUGUGCGUUCAAAGAUUCGAUGAUUCACUGAAUUCUGCAAUUCACAUUACUUAUCGCAUUUCGCUGCGUUCUUCAUCGAUGCCAGAACCAAGAGAUCCGUUGGUUGAAAGUUUUGAUUCAUUUUCGAAACGCCUACGAGAGGCGCCGAGAAGGCUCAGAUUAUAAAAAACCCGCGGAGGGGGUAUACAAAAAGAAGUUUUUGGUUGGUCCUCCCGGCGGGCGCCCUUGGGUCCGGGGCUGCGACGCACCCGGGGCAGAGAUCCCGCGAAGCAACAGUUUGGUACGUCACAUUGGGGGGUGGGGGAGGUUGGAAAAUCCGG